This 450-nucleotide ribosomal RNA is filed under the name uncultured bacterium. RNAcentral's name for it is "bacterial SSU rRNA". It matches the Rfam family "Bacterial small subunit ribosomal RNA", at positions 331 to 795 of the family's 1533-position model. The record is from RNAcentral.
CCAGACUCCUACGGGAGGCAGCAGUGGGGAAUAUUGGGCAAUGGGCGCAAGCCUGACCCAGCAACGCCGCGUGAAGGAAGAAGGCCCUCGGGUUGUAAACUUCUUUUAACAGGGACGAAGAAAGUGACGGUACCUGUUGAAUAAGCCACGGCUAACUACGUGCCAGCAGCCGCGGUAAUACGUAGGGGGCGAGCGUUAUCCGGAUUUACUGGGUGUAAAGGGAGCGUAGACGGUUUUUCAAGUCUGAAGUGAAAGCCCGCGGCGCAACUGCGGAACGGCUUUGGAAACUGAGGGACUAGAGUGCUGGAGGGGCAGGCGGAAUUCCUGGUGUAGCGGUGAAAUGCGUAGAUAUCAGGAGGAACACCGGUGGCGAAGGCGGCCUGCUGGACAGUAACUGACGUUGAGGCUCGAAAGCGUGGGGAGCAAACAGGAUUAGAUACCCCCGUAAUA